RNAcentral lists this ribosomal RNA (301 nucleotides) under uncultured bacterium. RNAcentral describes it as "partial 16S ribosomal RNA". It matches the Rfam family "Bacterial small subunit ribosomal RNA", at positions 509 to 808 of the family's 1533-position model. The record is from RNAcentral.
CAGUAGCCGCGGUAAUACGAAGGGUGCAAGCGUUACUCGGAAUUACUGGGCGUAAAGCGUGCGUAGGUGGUGGUUUAAGUCCGUUGUGAAAGCCCUGGGCUCAACCUGGGAAUUGCAGUGGAUACUGGGUCACUAGAGUGUGGUAGAGGAUAGUGGAAUUUCCGGUGUAGCAGUGAAAUGCGUAGAGAUCGGAAGGAACAUCUGUGGCGAAGGCGACUAUCUGGGCCAACACUGACACUGAGGCACGAAAGCGUGGGGAGCAAACAGGAUUAGAUACCCGUGUAGUCCCUGUCUCUAUACA